Molecule: non-coding RNA, 27 nt
Filed under: Homo sapiens (human)
Lineage: Eukaryota; Metazoa; Chordata; Mammalia; Primates; Hominidae
Source: RNAcentral
UGGAGCCACAGAGAAGAAAUGAGCAGC